Armigeres subalbatus is the source of this 429-nucleotide long non-coding RNA. RefSeq lists it as uncharacterized. NCBI's taxonomy places the organism in Eukaryota, Metazoa, Arthropoda, Insecta, Diptera, Culicidae. The record is from RefSeq and is a predicted model, not a curated record. The transcript has 3 exons.
CGAAAUUUGUGCUGUUUUUUCUGUAUACACUUCUGUACUUAUUAGAACUACGACUCGGAGAAACGGUGUCUAGACAAGUUAUUAAUAGCAUAUCUACAAGCAUAUAAAGCAUAUCAACUGAGGAAAGGCGAACAAAAGGCACUACUGCAGACUGCAUCGUAUGUCACAAAAUCCGCCCAGUCCAGCUACCCGUAUAUAAAUUUUGGUGAAGUACGACGAUGAUGAAGCAGAAUGAUGAAAAUGGAAAGAGCAACCAAAAAGCUGAUUCACUUCUGUGUAACUACGACGACAGCUUCAAAGAACGUAAGGUUUUGGCGCAAUUUCGUUACAGCGACUCAACAGAAGCGAAAUUCAGCAAGGUUAUGAGAGCAACAUUUAGCGUAGAUUCGGAUAUAAAGCUGGAUAAAAUUCUGAAUCAAUAAAAACAAG